Long non-coding RNA from Mytilus trossulus (common blue mussel), 632 nucleotides. RefSeq lists it as uncharacterized. The transcript has 3 exons. The record is from RefSeq and is a predicted model, not a curated record. NCBI's taxonomy places the organism in Eukaryota, Metazoa, Mollusca, Bivalvia, Mytilida, Mytilidae.
GAGACGUACAGGUGGAAAAGUGCUGCACGGAAAACCUCCAGACUUUUCACAAACCUAAAGCUUUCUACAAUGGAUCACCAGUAAAGACACAAAAUAUUCCAUCUAAAAGGAAACAUUUAGAUAGUAUUCUGGAUGAUCCACGACCAGCAGAGUUCUAGAAUUUGAAGGGGUACAAUGAUCAUGUCAGAAAUUCCUUAAUUAAUUUUUGCUCAACAUCUUCCAUGGAUAUAUCCUUACGCUAUAUAUAUCCAAAAGCAGAUCUUCAAAAUGCAGUUCAUGACCAUGACUAUCUUGAAAGGCCAUUUGCUGAGUAUUGGAUAGAUAAUGCCCUUAAGGUUACUGAGAAUGACUGCAAGGCAAUAGAGAAAUGUACGAGGAAGCAAAGUAAAUGCAAUGAGUGGUUCAGGCAUAGAAAAUGGAGAUUGACUGCGUCAAGAUUUGGGGAAAUUACCAGAAUGACUUGUAGAAGAAACAAAAACAAACUAUGCAAAACUUUAAUUAAUAGCCAUAAAAUAGUUAGAAAGUGUUUGUUACAUGGAAAACAAUUUGAAUCUAAAGCUAUUUGCAAAUUUGAGGCACAAAAAGGUGUAAAAUGUAGGCCCUCAGGCCUGUUUGUUAGACCAGAUUUCCCA